RNAcentral lists this ribosomal RNA (457 nucleotides) under Dermacentor albipictus. RNAcentral describes it as "partial 16S ribosomal RNA". The stretch from base 312 to 457 matches the Rfam family "Bacterial large subunit ribosomal RNA", at positions 2473 to 2619 of the family's 2925-position model. Lineage: Eukaryota; Metazoa; Arthropoda; Arachnida; Ixodida; Ixodidae. The record is from RNAcentral.
CUGCUCAAUGAUUUUUUAAAUUGCUGUGGUAUUUUGACUAUACAAAGGUAUUGUAAUAAGAUUUUAAUUGAAUGCUAAGRGAAUGGAACUACAAGGRGGAGCUAUUUUAAACUUAAAAAUUAAAGUUAUUUUAAUUUGUGAAGAAACAAYUAUUAAAAUUAAGGACAAGAAGACCCUAAGAAUUUURAAAUCAAUAAUUUUUUAUUAUAAAAGCUUAUUGAUUUUUAGUUGGGGCAACUAAAAAAUAUUAUAAACUUUUUUAUAAAUAAAAUGAUCCAUUAUUAAUGAUAAUUUGGAAAAAAUACUCUAGGGAUAACAGCGUAAUAAUUUUUGAUAGAACGUAUAGACAAAAUAGUUUGCGACCUCGAUGUUGGAUUAGGAUUCUUUUUUAAUGAAGAUGUUAAAAGAAGAAGUUUGUUCAACUUUUAAAGUCCUGCUUGAUCUGAGUUCAGACCGG